RNAcentral lists this ribosomal RNA (647 nucleotides) under uncultured bacterium. RNAcentral describes it as "bacterial SSU rRNA". It matches the Rfam family "Bacterial small subunit ribosomal RNA", at positions 202 to 847 of the family's 1533-position model. The record is from RNAcentral.
AAAGGAGUGAUCCGGUGACGGAUGGGCAUGCGUGACAUUAGCUAGUCGGCGGGGUAACGGCCCACCGAGGCGACGAUGUCUAGGGGUUCUGAGAGGAAGGUCCCCCACACUGGUACUGAGACACGGACCAGACUCCUACGGGAGGCAGCAGUGAGGAAUAUUGGUCAAUGGGCUUACGCCUGAACCAGCCAAGUCGCGUGAGGGAAGACUGCCCUAUGGGUUGUAAACCUCUUUUGUCAGGGAGCAACGCCGGCUACGUGUAGCCGGACUGAGAGUACCUGAAGAAAAAGCAUCGGCUAACUCCGUGCCAGCAGCCGCGGUAAUACGGAGGAUGCGAGCGUUAUCCGGAUUUAUUGGGUUUAAAGGGUGCGUAGGCGGAAUGCCAAGUCAGCGGUAAAAUCGCGGGGCUCAACCUCGCUCCGCCGUUGAAACUGGCGUUCUUGAGUGGGCGAGAAGUAUGCGGAAUGCGUGGUGUAGCGGUGAAAUGCAUAGAUAUCACGCAGAACUCCGAUUGCGAAGGCAGCAUACCGGCGCCCAACUGACGCUGAAGCACGAAAGCGUGGGUAUCGAACAGGAUUAGAUACCCUGGUAGUCCACGCAGUAAACGAUGAAUACUAGCUGUUCGGGGCAAUUGGGCCUUGAGUGGC